This is an RNA transcript of Rosa chinensis, 2514 nucleotides long. It is a transcript of the gene named protein FLX-like 1, with no coding region annotated. The transcript has 7 exons. The record is from RefSeq and is a predicted model, not a curated record. NCBI's taxonomy places the organism in Eukaryota, Viridiplantae, Streptophyta, Magnoliopsida, Rosales, Rosaceae.
AAUAAAAACAAAGACUUAUUUUCCAAUUGUUUUGCUUUUGCCUCGUCUUCUUCUUCACAGCAGCAGCAGCGAGAAGAAUCCUCAGCUAGGGUUUCUGAACCUCUCCAAGCUCGAAACGAGCCCAGAACCCAUGACUGGAAUCCCCCCCUACCAAUGAGCCUCGCCUCCCUCUUACUUCGCAAAGGUUUGAAUUUUAGAGUGGUCGCGGUUGAUAGUUUUGUGGAGGAAAUAUUUUGAUUGCUGAAUUGUUGAGUGAACGAAAACCAUGUCUGGAAGAAAUCGUGGACCACCUCAUGCUGGACUACCUCCUCCCAUGCAUGAAGUGCCGUAUGGAAGAGGACAUGGGCCGAUGCCCCAUCCUGCAUUACUUGAGGAAAUGAGAGAAUCCCAGCAUGGUAUGGGUCCCAGAUCACUUCCCCCUCACCCUGCGAUAAUUGAGGAGCAUCUCGCCGCCCAGCUUCAAGAUAUUCAAGGUCUUCUAGUUGAUAACCAGAGGCUGGCUGCGACUCAUGUUGCCCUUAAGCAGGAAUUGGAAGCUGCCCAAUUUGAGUUGCAACGCAUGGCUUACCAUGUUGAUUCAAUGCGGUCAGACAAGGAUGUUCCAAUGAGAGAUUUGUAUGACAAGUCUGUGCGUUUGGAAAUGGAUCUUCGUGGGGUUGAGGCUAUGCGGGCUGAGCUUCUUCAGGUUCGCGCUGAUAUCAAGGAACUCACUGUUGCGAGGCAAGAGCUCUCUGGCCAGGCGCAAGCGAUGACCCAAGAUUUGGCUAGAAUCAAUGCUGACUUGCAACAGGCACCAAUAUUAAGAGCAGAAAUUGAAUCUAUGAAACAAGAACUGCAACGUGCUAGAGCUGCCAUUGAGUAUGAAAAGAAAGGGUAUGCAGAGAAUUAUGAGCAUGGUCAGGUAAUGGAGAAGAACUUGAUCUCAAUGGCUAGGGAGCUGGAGAAACUUCGUGCAGAAAUCGCUAAUACUGAGAAGAGGGCACGUGCUUCAGCUGCAGUUGGAAAUCCCAGUGGAGGUUACAAUGCAAAUUAUGGUAAUCCUGAAGCUGGAUAUGCAGGAAAUCCUUAUCCUGCCACCUAUGGCAUGAAUCCUGUACAGGGUGGUGCUGAAAAUUUUCCUCAGUAUCCUAUGCCUGGUUCCUGGGGUGCAUACGACAUGCAACGAGCUCAGGGACACCGAUAAGCUAGUUCAUCCGUGAUCCUGAGCUACGUUCUGAUGGUAUCUUGGCUUCAGCUAAUAGAUAUUUAGACUGCACCAAUGAAGUGAGUAUGUGGGUUUUGAUCGAGUUAUGUUGCUCCUGAAAGGAUGCAGUCCAUCUCUCCUCAAAAUUAUAUUCUUCAGUGCAAGCUCUCUGCUGAUUUUGAAUAAUUGGGAGCUGUUACCCCUUGGUUGGUUUAUUAUACCAAGACUUUGGGCUGAGCAGAAACUUACAACUUUUCAAGUUGACUUCUAGUUCUUCUGAUUUGAGCUUUAUUCCUUCCGUCAAAUUUAUAUGUAGCGGAAUAAAAUAGUAUGUUUGGCAUGGCUGCAAAAGUCGUAGUACAGUACUUCCUGUGGACUACUCAAUCCAACUUAGGUUCUAUUGUCAUAUUGUCUUGUUCAGCUUACUAUGACUGGCAAGAUCUGCUCCGCGAAAACCAGAGGAGUUGACUAUUUGGGAUAUGGGAUUUUUAAUUGUGAAAGGUCACCUCAGUUUUCUUAUCUUGGGAUGUGCACAAAUUUUAGUUCAAGAGAUGUUUUCAAAGGAAAGGAACAGUUUUUGAUUGUGAAAAGUUCAUCUCCUUUAUCCUUAUUGAGUUGUCAAUUAGGUUUAGUUCAAGAGAAUGAUCUUUGAUGGUGAAAAGGUCAUCUCCUUUCUCCUAAAUGGGUUGUCUAUUGAGUUUACCAAGAGUUGUUCUUUAAAGAGGAAGUUUGUGUCUUGUUCCAUUUAGAGGGUUAGCAGCCAAAUAUAAGAGAAGCUUAGUCAUACCUGACGUAUGCUGUUCACUGGGAGACACUCAACAAUGGAGCUCCACGAUGGUUUUCUGGUCAAGUUUGCAACCUUUUGGCUGUGUAAAUCUGCUGCAUCAUCAUGAACUGAAUUUUUAUGUGAUGUCCUGAGUUGGUGAUUUCUCACAAGCCAAGUGUUGAGUGGCGCCAUCUGAAUUGAACAGACGCGGAGCUUUGAACUUUUAUGAUGGCCCUUUGGUGGCGGUCACAAUGUUAGAUGACCAUAAAUCACUCACAGUGCAUACCAGUUUCACAGCCAGCCGCUAGGCAAGAUCAAGUAUCUCUUGCCAAAUGCAAACAUUUUCACUGAAGUUGAACAAAGUUAAAAGAUAAAAAGCCAUUAGAGGCCCUAAUGGUUUUUGGUUUUACUGCUCCUUGCCUGCAUAAACCAUGCAAAAAGUUAUUCCAGUGAAUAAUGUUAUACAAUACGAAGAGUCGGACUUAAUCACAUGUUUUGGUUUUGUAAGCAAAUGUUAUACAAAACCAUAGAUAGAAAUAACCAUUUCACAAUCUACUCUUCAUCA